RNAcentral lists this ribosomal RNA (253 nucleotides) under uncultured bacterium. RNAcentral's name for it is "partial 16S ribosomal RNA". It matches the Rfam family "Bacterial small subunit ribosomal RNA", at positions 524 to 776 of the family's 1533-position model. The record is from RNAcentral.
UACGAAGGGGGCUAGCGUUGCUCGGAAUCACUGGGCGUAAAGCGCACGUAGGCGGGUCGUUAAGUCGGGGGUGAAAUCCUGGAGCUCAACUCCAGAACUGCCUUCGAUACUGGCGAUCUUGAGUCUGGGAGAGGUGAGUGGAACUCCGAGUGUAGAGGUGAAAUUCGUAGAUAUCGGGAGGAACACCAGUGGCGAAGGCGGCGACCUGGACAGAUAUUGACGCUGAGGUGCGAAAGCGUGGGGAGCAAACAGG